CCCCUGCAGGAAGAAGGGCAAACGCAGGAGUGGGUUAGCACCAGAGGCUGGUUCAUGGGCCACUUGCACGCUUCCAGCACAGAGCUACCCUCCAAGAGACAGAGGGUGCAGAAGAGAAGGGUGGCGAGAGGGCCCGCACUCUCCAGAAAUGCCACUUCUCACUGUGGGGUGGCGUCAUGGUUCCCUGCCCUUGGCACCCAGGUGACAGAUGAGUGAGAGCCACCAGAGAAAUAUACACCCCUUUUCCUAAUUCCAGUGGCUGACCAGAGGGAGACAGACCAUAACCAUAAAUUCAGGAAAAGAAAGGGAUUUCAGAGAGUGUCUCACCGUGCUUCCAGCAAAGCCUGGAUGAUUCCAGCCCAGGACAGAAUAUCCAGCUGCAACACAGGAGGAGGAGGAGGGGCUAUGACCUUGUGGCCCACACCUCCCCCACCUCCAGCCCCGGGGGAAAGGCCAACACAAUAUGGGAGCUCUAAACAACCCCAAAUUUAGAGCAGAUCACCUACGGAAGGAAGCAGGAAGAAGGGCUGGGAAGGAGCCAAGCUGGGACUGAAAAUCCCCUGUGUGGCAGGACGUGGGAGCUUUACAGGGAAGAGGAAAGGGCCUGUUGUCUUCAACGGGAAUAGAAACUUCUAAUUUUACAAGGUGCAUGAGAGGCAGAGUGGAUGCAAAAGCUUAGCAAACUGAGGAAGACGAACUGCUCGACCACUCAGCAGUGUCGUUUUCCUUGGAAGACCACCGGAGGACAGCUCUCAGAAAUGGGGUUAUGGAUAUUUUUUUCCUGUCUAGUUUUUGGGUCUAUUUUUUUCAUGACUGUUUCUUUUGUGUGGCAUGCCAAUCACUUUCCAUCUCUGGGCCUCAGACUUAGAGUCAGAUAAACUUUAAUUUCAUGGGGCCCCGAGCCCAAACUCAGAGAUGGUGGAGCUUGCAUGGAUUCUCAUAGCAGCUGGGCAGUGCCGGAACCAGGAGUCAGCUCCCUGGACUGCUGACUCAGUGCUCUUUCCAUGGCUCCCUCAUGGAGGCAGGAUAUACUGGAGGCCAGGCUACCUGGGUUCAAAUCCCAGCUCUCUCACUUACUGUGUGGUCUGGGAAAAUUAUCCCAGGCUCAGUUUCAUCAUCUGUAAAAUGGGCUCUCCUAAAAAUAGUACCUCUUCUGCAGGGUUGUUUUGAGGAUUAAAUAUAUGCCUUCUAUGUGAUAAA
Lynx canadensis (Canada lynx) is the source of this 1200-nucleotide long non-coding RNA. RefSeq lists it as uncharacterized. The transcript is spliced from 2 exons. Lineage: Eukaryota; Metazoa; Chordata; Mammalia; Carnivora; Felidae. The record is from RefSeq and is a predicted model, not a curated record.